Long non-coding RNA from Struthio camelus australis, 402 nucleotides. NCBI's taxonomy places the organism in Eukaryota, Metazoa, Chordata, Aves, Struthioniformes, Struthionidae. The record is from Ensembl.
CAGAGUGGAAACUGCAUGGCAUCGCAUGGGAGCUACAAAAUGGAUGAAUGUACAAAAGGAGACAAAAGAGAUGAGAAAACUGCUUUCAACCUUUUCGUGCCAAGGAGCAGAUCUUUCAGGACAGGAAAUCCCCCACAGCGCACAUGGUUGUUCAACUGACUUGCAUGAUGAAAUGCUGCAACAGGAAUGUCUAUACAAUAAGGAGAUUGGAGGAUGCUUUUCUGCACAACUUUAUCAUUCAAAUGGUCUGAAGGAUCUGGACGACUGAAAACCAACAACUUCAAAACCUCUAAGAGCUGCCCCAGGGAGACAGAGCAUAGCGAGUCGAACCAACACCCUCUCUUCAACGAUGGCUACAGCUGCACUCUUCAGAAGAGCGGGAUGAAAUCGUUAUGAGAUACG